UCUGCUGAGGGCACCUUCACUGACCAUGCAAUAUCUAACAAGAGGCCAGUAAAGGUGCUUUGCCUCUCUUUGAAAUCCCUGCAACGGCAAGUCAAAGAACAAUAGCAUGCGGUAACGUCCUGUUCCUCUGGAAAGAAUCUGCCUCUCUUUGAAAUCUUGGCAACAGCAAGUCAAACAACAGCAGGCGGUAAUGUCUUGUUCCUCUGGAAAGAGUGUAGCAUUGAACUUCUGCUCUAUUAGUUUCAUUUCAGAACAGAUAGCUUUAUCUCCAAUUAUUAGAGGUAUGAAAUUUGAUAGGCCAGAUUCAUUUUCAACCU
RNAcentral lists this long non-coding RNA (317 nucleotides) under Brassica napus (rape). Its description in RNAcentral is "long non-coding RNA (BNAP_LNC012153)". Lineage: Eukaryota; Viridiplantae; Streptophyta; Magnoliopsida; Brassicales; Brassicaceae. The record is from RNAcentral.